This 792-nucleotide ribosomal RNA is filed under the name Triticum aestivum (bread wheat). Its description in RNAcentral is "partial small subunit ribosomal RNA". The record is from RNAcentral. Lineage: Eukaryota; Viridiplantae; Streptophyta; Magnoliopsida; Poales; Poaceae.
AUGGAUCCAGCAGAUUGUAUUGUUGUCCGUUUUCAUUUCAAUGGGGAAUUUAUCAAUGACGGGAAGACAAUACAGUAUGUGGGGGGCAAAGAAGCAAUGUCCUUUUUAGAUCGAGCAACCUUGAGCUUACAGAGAAUUCAACAGUGUUUGAGUGAGCAUUAUGUCACAGUGGACGGACAACAAUUGCACUGGCUCUUCCCUGGGAAGGAUUUAUUUGAUGGAUUGUUGAUGUUGUCUGAGGACAAGUCUGUUGAAACACUGUCAGCAUGUACAACAGAUGCAGGUGUGGCUGAUGUGUAUGUGGAGGAUCCGGCCGUGCAAGAUGAAGAAGUUAGUGAGGAAGAAGAUUGGGCUGAAGACGAUUAUGUAGCUACUGCUGAUGAGAAGAAGUCCGCAAAGGAAAAGCUAAUUGAUGUAGAAAGCAGCUCCGAUGAUAGUGACUUUGUGCCACCAGAUUUUUCAUCGGAUGAUGAUGAGGCAGAUGCUAUUAAGCAAGAUUACAAGAAAUUCAAAAGGAGCAAGAAGAUGGCAGCUGAAAAACUUGCACUUGAGUAUGAGUUUGAAGCAUUGAAUGUAGUUAAACCUGAAGGCAAUUAUGAAGAUGAAUCAAGUGCUGAAGAGGAUGAAUCUUAUGACGAGGAUAGUGAUGGUGAACUUAUCAAGCGUGAGUCUGAAUAUGCUAGGUUUAAUAAGAAAGCAGAAGUGAUCAAGUUCACCUUGGGUAUGACAUUUAGUGGGAAGAAGGAGUUCAAAGAUGCAAUCAUUCGUUAUGCACUGAAGGAAAGAAAAUAA